GCCAGAAGAGAGAUCUGGAGCACCAUUGGAGGGGAUUGACAACUUGGACAGCCUCUACAUUACAUUAAAUAAAAAUAAAGAAAUAUAGUGUUGAUAUGGUUUGUGUAUCACAGUAAGUGCAAGAUUUAGAGACUACAAAAAGUGAUCUCCAAAACGGAAAACCAGGAAAGACAUUGACUUUGAAGCACAAAGCUCUCCUCAGAAGCUAUUUUCUAUCACAGCAUUUCCUGGUUUGAUUUACGUCCAUA
Molecule: long non-coding RNA, 248 nt
Filed under: Naja naja (Indian cobra)
Lineage: Eukaryota; Metazoa; Chordata; Lepidosauria; Squamata; Elapidae
Description: lncRNA (ENSNNAG00000009945.1)
Source: RNAcentral